RNAcentral lists this ribosomal RNA (328 nucleotides) under Anaplasma phagocytophilum. RNAcentral's name for it is "bacterial SSU rRNA". It matches the Rfam family "Bacterial small subunit ribosomal RNA", at positions 113 to 458 of the family's 1533-position model. The record is from RNAcentral. Lineage: Bacteria; Pseudomonadati; Pseudomonadota; Alphaproteobacteria; Rickettsiales; Anaplasmataceae.
AUGCAUAGGAAUCUACCUAGUAGUAUGGGAUAGCCACUAGAAAUGGUGGGUAAUACUGUAUAAUCCCUGCGGGGGAAAGAUUUAUCGCUAUUAGAUGAGCCUAUGUCAGAUUAGCUAGUUGGUGGGGUAAUGGCCUACCAAGGCGGUGAUCUGUAGCUGGUCUGAGAGGAUGAUCAGCCACACUGGAACUGAGACACGGUCCAGACUCCUACGGGAGGCAGCAGUGGGGAAUAUUGGACAAUGGGCGCAAGCCUGAUCCAGCUAUGCCGCGUGAGUGAGGAAGGCCUUAGGGUUGUAAAACUCUUUCAGUAGGGAAGAUAAUGACGGU